GCUAGAUGGAUAUUUUUGUUGUUUUAUUUUUAAUGAAUAAGAGAUACUUAUAUUCAUUAAAAUUAGAAAAAAGAUAAUGAAUCACCUCAAAUUACAGAAUUUCCAUAUUUCCCAAAAAACUGACAGUGUGUCUGCCAAUAAUAGCCACAUACAAUAUUUAUGCAAGCCUGGCUUUCUGUAAUGAGAAAUUCAACAAUUGCCAUGGUGAUAUCUUGGGAGGCAAGGAGGAAAUACUGGUGAUAACGGGAGUCUUGAGUGGUGAUGGCGGGCAGCAUCAUACCAUCCCCCUUGGGCCUGGGAUGCUGCCAAGGUCUGCAGCGUGAUGUUUGUCCUCCUCCAUCGUCAUCCAAACAAACAGGAAACUUGCUCUACAGAAAGUAAUUCUUGCUGUUUUUCUUUAUACAUUUCUCAAAAUAUCUUUUAAAUACUUUGUUACAGUAGGUAGUCAGGCCUACAUGAGCAGGGCAAGAGAGCCCUUCCAUCCCAACAGAAAUGUCAGGUUACCAUUAGAUGAUGGUCAGGCAGUUGUUAAACUGUCUCUCUAAAAAAAUAAUUGGUUACAGCCAGUGCCGUGGAAAGGCAGUCUCCCAGCAGAUAGAAACACCUGAAACUGGUGAUCAGCUUCCCAGUAAGGUCUCAGGAGUUGCGCAAGUGGGCUCAAGCAUGCGCAUUAAGAGGCAAAAUGGCGGAGUUUAACUGGUAGAUGACCUUGCACGGACAUUUGACUGGUACGGGAAGAACGCUUCAAAUGAGCAUACAUACAGCUCCGGUAAACACACUGCACGUGUGGCACCUCCAAGAGCGGGCAGGCAACUGCACAGGCAGACAGCCCACCCCAAGGGCAGAAUCAGGGAAGAAGAGACGCAGGACCCCGGAAGCAUGCCAACGUCACACCGCGCACUUCAUCCCUCAAGUCACCCGCGUGGCCCUCUUGCGAGGUCUCACUCUGUCGCCAGCUAGAAUGCAGUGGCACAAUCCCAGCUCAGUGCAGCCUCAACCUCCAGGGCUCAAGUGAUCCUCCCACCUCAGCCUCCUGAGUAACUGGGACUACAGAUGUACACCACCACGCCCAGGAUUGCUGGGAAGAUCAAGGAAGAGAAAAUGAAUAAUAUAUGUAAGAGAACUUUGCACACUACAUAGCCCUACACAGAACGCAUUAUUACCAAGUAUUUUACAUUUAUAAAGUGCUUUUCAAAGCACUCUCCACUUAAAAUUCAAUUCACAAUCACCAGCUAAGGCUGAAGAUUCAGACACAAAAUCCCCGCCUGCAUGAAGCUCAUGUUCUGGACUCUAGAGGAAUCAGGUAAUCCUGUCUAUACCUGUGGAAAAUGCUGUGAAAACAUAGGAUGUUGCUACAAAGAAGUUGGCGUCCAAAUUAGAGAAAUGAGUGCAUCGCUCCUGUUCUCAGGACUCUGGAUUUCUGCAACCUUCUUAAAAUCUUUAAUGAAUAUUUGAAAUUAUCUCAUUGCACCUGUUAUCAAUCCUCUGAUAGGAACCAAGAGAGAUAUAUGUUAUUUCUGAGAAAAGUGAGGCUUCGAAAAGAUAAACAACCUCAUUGUGAUUCAAUGACUUGACGUUCAGCUCACAGUCUAGAAAAUGGCUAAGUGGCAAAACUGGUCUUCAGACUCAAGAAAUGUUCAGUAUUAUACAAUAGAGUGCAUUUGGUGUUUGC
This 1672-nucleotide long non-coding RNA is filed under the name Homo sapiens (human). RNAcentral describes it as "HSALNT0082418". The record is from RNAcentral. Lineage: Eukaryota; Metazoa; Chordata; Mammalia; Primates; Hominidae.